GCCUGAGUGACAUAGUGGUUUGAGUGUUGGACUACAACUCUGGAGACCAGAGUUCGAUUCCCAGCACGGCCA
Molecule: transfer RNA, 72 nt
Filed under: Phrynosoma platyrhinos (Desert horned lizard)
Lineage: Eukaryota; Metazoa; Chordata; Lepidosauria; Squamata; Phrynosomatidae
Description: tRNA-OTHER
Source: RNAcentral